ACGUACACUCCUGCGGGAGGCAGCAGUGGGGAAUAUUGCACAAUGGGCGCAAGCCUGAUGCAGCGACGCCGCGUGGGGGAUGAAGGCCUUCGGGUUGUAAACUCCUUUCGCUAGGGACGAAGCUUUUUUGUGACGGUACCUAGAUAAGAAGCACCGGCUAACUACGUGCCAGCAGCCGCGGUAAUACGUAGGGUGCGAGCGUUGUCCGGAAUUACUGGGCGUAAAGGGCUCGUAGGUGGUUUGUCGCGUCGUCUGUGAAAUUCUGGGGCUUAACUCCGGGCGUGCAGGCGAUACGGGCAUAACUUGAGUGCUGUAGGGGUAACUGGAAUUCCUGGUGUAGCGGUGAAAUGCGCAGAUAUCAGGAGGAACACCGAUGGCGAAGGCAGGUUACUGGGCAGUUACUGACGCUGAGGAGCGAAAGCAUGGGUAGCGAACAGGAUUAGAUACCCCAGUAGUCCCAUG
This 462-nucleotide ribosomal RNA is filed under the name uncultured organism. Its description in RNAcentral is "partial 16S ribosomal RNA". It matches the Rfam family "Bacterial small subunit ribosomal RNA", at positions 329 to 799 of the family's 1533-position model. The record is from RNAcentral.